RNAcentral lists this ribosomal RNA (393 nucleotides) under uncultured bacterium. Its description in RNAcentral is "partial 16S ribosomal RNA". It matches the Rfam family "Bacterial small subunit ribosomal RNA", at positions 523 to 918 of the family's 1533-position model. The record is from RNAcentral.
AUACGGAGGAUCCGAGCGUUAUCCGGAUUUAUUGGGUUUAAAGGGAGCGUAGAUGGGUUGUUAAGUCAGUUGUGAAAGUUUGCGGCUCAACCGUAAAAUUGCAAUUGAUACUGGCAGCCUUGAGUACAGUUGAGGUAGGCGGAAUUCGUGGCGUAGCGGUGAAAUGCUUAGAUAUCACGAAGAACUCCGAUUGCGAAGGCAGCCUACUAAACUGCCACUGACAUUGAUGCUCGAAAGUGUGGGUAUCAAACAGGAUUAGAUACCCUGGUAGUCCACACGGUAAACGAUGAAUACUCGCUGUUUGCGAUAUACAGCAAGCGGCCAAGCGAAAGCGUUAAGUAUUCCACCUGGGGAGUACGCCGGCAACGGUGAAACUCAAAUGAAUUGACGGGG